This 29-nucleotide non-coding RNA is filed under the name Homo sapiens (human). Lineage: Eukaryota; Metazoa; Chordata; Mammalia; Primates; Hominidae. The record is from RNAcentral.
UGCUAGGGUCUUGGAGAAUGAGUGCCAGA